CCCAGGGCUUGCGCCCCUGGGCUAGAAACGGUCGCCCCUUCGGGGCU
This 47-nucleotide small RNA is filed under the name Singulisphaera acidiphila DSM 18658. RNAcentral's name for it is "Acido-Lenti-1 RNA". It matches the Rfam family "Acido-Lenti-1 RNA". The record is from Rfam by way of RNAcentral. Lineage: Bacteria; Pseudomonadati; Planctomycetota; Planctomycetia; Isosphaerales; Isosphaeraceae.